UGGGGAAUAUUGGACAAUGGGGGCAACCCUGAUCCAGCAAUGCCGCGUGUGUGAAGAAGGUCUUCGGAUUGUAAAGCACUUUCGACGGGGACGAUGAUGACGGUACCCGUAGAAGAAGCCCCGGCUAACUUCGUGCCAGCAGCCGCGGUAAUACGAAGGAGGCUAGCGUUGCUCGGAAUGACUGGGCGUAAAGGGCGUGUAGGCGGUUUACACAGUCAGAUGUGAAAUCCCCGGGCUUAACCUGGGAGCUGCAUUUGAUACGUGUAGACUAGAGUGUGAGAGAGGGUUGUGGAAUUCCCAGUGUAGAGGUGAAAUUCGUAGAUAUUGGGAAGAACACCGGUGGCGAAGGCGGCAACCUGGCUCAUGACUGACGCUGAGGCGCGAAAGCGUGGGGAGCAAACAGGAUUAGAUACCCUGGUAGUCCACGCUGUAAACGAUGUGUGCUAGAUGUUGGGUAACUUUGUUAUUCAGUGUCGCAGUUAACGCGUUAAGCACACCGCCUGGGGAGUACGGCCGCAAGGUUGAAAC
Molecule: ribosomal RNA, 528 nt
Filed under: uncultured bacterium
Lineage: Bacteria
Description: partial 16S ribosomal RNA
Rfam family: Bacterial small subunit ribosomal RNA
Source: RNAcentral